This 282-nucleotide long non-coding RNA is filed under the name Elaeis guineensis (African oil palm). Its description in RNAcentral is "long non-coding RNA (EGUI_LNC060927)". The record is from RNAcentral. Lineage: Eukaryota; Viridiplantae; Streptophyta; Magnoliopsida; Arecales; Arecaceae.
UGCCCUAUAAUCCAAUCAAAAUGUAUAAAUAGAUGGAUAUUUUUUGUCUCCCGACAACUCAUGUACUGAUGUUUUAAAUAAAUAAAGGCAUUUAGUUCAUAAUAUGCUGCAUCUUAUUUUUUGAUGAACCCCAUAAAUUAGAGCUAUGGUUUUAGGGUUAUGAUGCGAUCAUACCAAGUGAGAUCUAAAACCUUAAAACUCUAAUUUUAAAUAUUCCUAGUCGAUGGAACAUUGAGUAGGGGAUCAAUGUUUCCGGUAAGACUGGUACAUCCUGUGUAUGCU